RNAcentral lists this ribosomal RNA (253 nucleotides) under uncultured bacterium. RNAcentral describes it as "partial 16S ribosomal RNA". It matches the Rfam family "Bacterial small subunit ribosomal RNA", at positions 524 to 776 of the family's 1533-position model. The record is from RNAcentral.
UACGGAGGGUGCAAGCGUUGUCCGGAAUCACUGGGCGUAAAGGGCGCGUAGGCGGCUCAUGAAGGCUGUGGUGAAAGUCCGGGGCUCAACCUCGGAUCGGCCGUGGCGACUCGUGGGCUGGAGCACUGUAGAGGCGGGUGGAAUUCCGGGUGUAGCGGUGGAAUGCGUAGAGAUCCGGAAGAACACCGACGGCGAAGGCAGCGUCCUGGCCGAGCACUGACGCUCAGGCACGAAAGCGCGGGGAGCAAACAGG